This 866-nucleotide ribosomal RNA is filed under the name Corophium arenarium. RNAcentral describes it as "partial small subunit ribosomal RNA". The stretch from base 278 to 866 matches the Rfam family "Eukaryotic small subunit ribosomal RNA", at positions 1 to 1119 of the family's 1831-position model. Lineage: Eukaryota; Metazoa; Arthropoda; Malacostraca; Amphipoda; Corophiidae. The record is from RNAcentral.
AUGUCAGUGCCGGGCGUUGGUUAGGUGGACGUUGGGGUGUGGGAUCAAGUGGUGGGCGCUGCUCUUCGCCUCUCUCGCGCUCUCUCGCGUGCGCGCGGUGUCUCGGCGCGCGUGUGUGUGUGCUCUUCUCACGCGCCCUCGCGGGUUGUGUGUGGCGGGGUGCGCGCGCGCGUGCGUGUUCACGGGCCCGCCGCCGCGUGGUCACGGGUGCUUGGGGGUGGGCUCGCUUGCUACUCCCGCAACAUGCUCCCGUCCGUAACAAGCCUCCGCGCCUGCGUACAUAGUGGUGCUUGACUGGGGUGGCGGACAAGGCGUCGGCGUAUGCUUGCCGGGCUGGCGGGUGCGGAUCGAUCUCGCUCGCGCGUUAUCUUUUCCUCUCGCUGCCCGUGUCUUCGCUCGCCGUUCGCUCCCGUCUUCUCCUAGAGUAUCAGUGUCACCGUGAGUAAAUCGGAGUGCUCAAAGCAGUCGUAACGGGCCUCGUGCCCUGUGAACAGUCUUGACGGACUGACUUGGUUUUGCAUGGUAUGUCGGAAGACGACGUCGAGCGCUGGCUAAGAGGUAUUUUUAAUGAAUCAGUGGUAUAAGCCAGCCUCGACGUACUGAUUAAAAGGGCUUGUCGAGGGCAUUGGUAUUGCGGAGCGAGAGGUGAAAUUCUAUGACCUCCGCAAGACCGCCCGAAGCGAAAGCGUCUGCCAAGGAUGUUUUCAUUAAUCAUGAACGAAAGUUAGAGGAUCGAAGGCGAUCAGAUACCGCCCUAGUUCUAACCCUAAACGAUGCCAACCAUCAAUCCGCGCGUAGCACCCUUUAUGACGGGCUCGGCGGGCAGCUCCUUUUUCACGGGAAACCAGAGUCUCUGGGUUCCGGGG